CAUUGCCUCGCUGUCUCUCUGAAGAGCCAUGAAGGGAUCGCUGAGGUCAUAGCGCCCGUAUCGCUCCUGCACAAACACGUCUCGUUGCUGUGCCUAGGGUGGAGAUCAGAAGUUCAAAGGUCAGAGUACAGCUCAUGAUAAUAAAUCAACCUGCCAUACAGCUAUUUAUCCAGUUACAGCUCUUUCCUCAAAUGAUUUUUGCAGUUGCAGAAGAUGAAUGUAGUGGCAUUUUUGCACACUCGCACACUUUGGAGAAUGUGUGGAAUGUGUGAACAACUGAGAGCUGCUUGAGUUGGACCUUGACCACUUUCAAAGCUUCACUCCCUACCAAUUCCUCAUCGCCUGCUGAGGGACCACAAGGAAACAUGUGCCAGAAGUUUUGAACGUUUGCAUGCAGUGUGUGCAAAUGGGGUCACACUCGGAUGUGGACUUGCUAUCCUUCUCACACAGGAUCUCAGCAGGUAAUGAGAAAGAGGGGGGUGAAAAACAUUAUAGAAAAGAUGAAAAGCAGGAACUGGGAGAGAAGGAAAGAGCCGCGGGCUGUGAGACACACUGAAACGGAAAAGCAGGAUGGCCUUCUUCAUGAUGUCCACGCCAACAUCAGCAGGGAUCUCUGCUCUCAUUUAACAUAAACCAGGUGCUCAGGGACACACUGUACAUCCAAAUAAACCCACAGAGGAAUGAUCAGAUGCAGCCUGGGCUUUAUCAGGUCUUGUUUCACAAAUAAUAACCCUCUGAAUUACACACACACACACACACACACAUAUACACAAUACCACCCUGCCCCCAAAUCCCCAAAUGCACACACACUCCCAUCAGGCCUCCAUAGGCAGGUGUUAAACCUUCCCUUGGGGAGCGAGGGUCACCACCACAGAAAGGAGUACAAAAGGAGCAGCUGGUGAGGCUGGAACGUGUGUGUAUGUGUGUGUGUGUGUGUGUGUUGACCAAUUUGGCAUGGCAAUAUGGGCCGUCUAUAUUGAAUGAAUUGGCAGAUGCAAACACACAGAUGAGAUUACACACACACACACACACGCACACAGAGUCUUUAUGAUACAAUACGAGGAUAUAUAAAAUGCACUAUAAAACCUUGCAUUAAAGAAUUGCCAAAAUAACAAUGUAUAAACCAGAGUCAUCCAACGGCAGAAAUCUGGUGUAACAUGGCUAUUUUCGUGCAGAGAGUAUCAAAAUGCAUCACUUUUAGAACAAAAGCAGCUUGGUGCAUCUUGCCAACUACAAAAACAAACAUUUGAAUAACAAGGAAAAUACAACAAAUUUUUUUAAGUUGGCAUGAAUAGAUACAGAUAAUGGUAUCGGUUUAAUAUUGCACUCAUUUACUUGUAUUUGUAUAAACUAUAUCAACAUCUGAUACCACAUGAAACUACGCAUCACAAAGCGAGUGAGCGCUAUCAAGCUAAUUACCGCACGACACAAAAUGACAGCGAUCUGGACAUAUUUUAUAAUUAAUAACGGCGAUCAAAGCAAAGCAGACUGUAAACUGUGCUCUCUAAAAAUAUCAAGAGGAGGGACUACAACAUCUUCCUACAGCACAAGUAAUCUGAUAAAAAAUGGAAUUUCCCAAAUUUAUUGUGGCCUGCCUGUGUUCAGAAUUGAAUUUAUUUUUAUGAUGUCACACUCCACAGUAUUGGUUAAUGGCUCAUAUGAAAGUAUAAAAGUUAUCAUUUCCAUCGCCCUGCUCCCCAGCAGCUAAACACAGAGUCAGGAUACUCUAAACACAGAAACCCAACAGUGACCUGACUAAUCUUAUAACAGACUUGUGGCCAUAAAAUAAUUCACUUGUUUAUACUGACUGAAAAUGUCCGAUGAGUCUAUUUCCAUUUCACCUGCAGAAUGGAACGCCAGUGUACUACUAAAAAGGAUUCAAAAUAAAACCUGAAACAAUGACCUCACUGCGGUAUACAGCAGCAAUCAAUGCUGCAGCAAAACACUUUCUAGGUGAGAACAAAUGUCUACAGACUCACUGGGUGAGUGAAAAUAACAGCUCUUACCCAGCAGUUUGUUCUUGCUGAUCAGCCACUAUGGGACACUGAAAACAGGGGGUUCUGAUGCAAUGAAAACAAAAACACACUUUAUCUACAGCUGAGAAAAUCUUGCCUGCACCACUGCAACCCUACUCGAUCUAAGGUAACUAAUGUACAAAGCUAAUGCACAUAAAAGCAACCUAGCUAACGUUAUAAAGAAAGAGCCUAGUAGACUAAGCACAUGAACAUGCAUGUGUACACUUUUCAUGCCCACUUUUUAAACUGGGGGAACAUAAACAGAGCCAAAUAAAAUGUUCUGUGGUGUCUCUGAUUGAUUAGACCUAAGUAGAUUAGAUUUCGGUAUUAGUAUGCCUUUUUAAGUUUAAUAAAAUCAUUAGAAUUUCUUCAUGUCAUUAUUGUGUAUGCUAGUUGUGUAUUUAAGAAUUUAACCUGUUACUAUUUAACAGCAGAAUGCAAUAAUUGUCAACAAGUAGGGGUGGCUGUGGCUCAGGUGGUAGAGAGGGUUGUCCACUAAUCGUAAGGUUGGUGGUUCGAUUCCCAGCCCACAUGACUCCACAUGCCGAAUUGUCCUUGGGCAAGACACUGAACCCCAAGUUGCUCCUAAUGGCAAGCUAGCGCCUUGCAUGGCAGCUCUGCUACCAUUGG
Ictalurus punctatus (channel catfish) is the source of this 2645-nucleotide long non-coding RNA. RefSeq lists it as uncharacterized. The record is from RefSeq and is a predicted model, not a curated record. The transcript is spliced from 2 exons. NCBI's taxonomy places the organism in Eukaryota, Metazoa, Chordata, Actinopteri, Siluriformes, Ictaluridae.